AUGGUGGUGGAGGGAUACGAAACGGACAAGAACAUCGAGAUAUGGAAGGUGAAGAAGCUGAUCAAGGGGCUGGACGCGGCGAGGGGCAACGGCACGAGCAUGAUCUCGCUCAUCAUGCCGCCGCGCGACCAGGUCUCCCGGGUGGCCAAGAUGCUGGGCGACGAGUACGGGACCGCCUCCAACAUCAAGAGCCGGGUGAACCGCCAGUCCGUGCUGGCCGCCAUAACCUCUGCCCAGCAGAGGCUCAAGCUCUACAACCGGGUGCCCCCCAACGGCCUCGUGCUCUACACCGGCACCGUCGUCACCGACGACGGCAAGGAGAAGAAGGUCACCUUCGACUUCGAGCCCUUCCGGCCCAUCAACGCGUCGCUCUACCUCUGCGACAACAAGUUCCACACCGAGGCGCUGAACGAGCUCCUCGAGUCCGACGACAAGUUCGGCUUCAUCAUCAUGGACGGCAACGGCACGCUCUACGGCACGCUGAGCGGCAACAGCAGGGAGGUCGUGUACAAGUUCAGCGUGGACCUGCCCAAGAAGCACGGGCGGGGAGGGCAGUCCGCGCUCCGCUUCGCGCGCCUGCGCAUGGAGAAGCGGCACAACUACCUGCGCAAGGCGGCCGAGCUCGCCACGCACUUCUUCAUCAACCCUGCCACCAACCAGCCCAACGUCGUCGGGCUCAUCCUGGCCGGCUCCGCCGAUUUCAAGACCGAGCUGGGCAAGUCCGAGAUGUUCGAUCAGCGGCUGCAGGCCAAGAUAAUCAAGUCGGUCGACGUGUCGUACGGCGGCGAGAGCGGCUUCAACCAGGCCAUUGAGAUGUCUGUGGAGGUCCUCUCCGAGGUCAAGUUCGUCCAGGAGAAGAAGCUCCUUGGGAAGUACUUCGAGGAGAUAAGCCAGGACACCGGGAAGUACGUCCUCGGCGUGCAGGACACCAUGGCGGCCCUCGAGAUGGGCGCGGUCCACACGCUGAUCGUGUGGGAGAACCUCGACGUCAGGCGGUACGAGCUGAAGAACUCCGCCACGGGGGAGACGAUGGUGAAGUACCUCAACGGCGGCCAGGAGGCGGACCAGAGCAACUUCGUCGACGAGGCGACGUGCGGGGAGCUGGAUGUUGUUGACAGGGUGCUGCUGCUGGAGUGGUUCGCCGAGAACUACCAGCAGUACGGCUGCAAGCUGGAGUUCGUCACCAACAGGUCCCAGGAAGGAUCGCAGUUCUGCCGGGGCUUCGGCGGCAUCGGCGGGAUCCUCCGCUACCCGGCGGACGUCGCCGCCUACGACGACGAAGACGACAUGCUGGAUGACGACGUCUAUGAAGGCCUCGAAUAG
RNAcentral lists this ribosomal RNA (1323 nucleotides) under Triticum aestivum (bread wheat). RNAcentral describes it as "partial small subunit ribosomal RNA". Lineage: Eukaryota; Viridiplantae; Streptophyta; Magnoliopsida; Poales; Poaceae. The record is from RNAcentral.